GGGAUGUAUAUUUUUCCCACAAGUAUCAAUUUUAGAUUUUACUUGCCCCAGGGCUUUGGUAAGUGAUGAGGACUCAAAAACGGGAUUGUGAUAGGGAGAAUGCCACAAAUUUGUUGAAUCCUAUCAUCAACAAUGAACCUGAUAUUUUAGUGGGAUCUGGGUAAGGAGGUGGCUCGUAUUCUCAGGAGUUUUUAACUUGUAGGUCAAUCUGGGCCAUUUGAUAUCACCAUAAAAUUUUCUGUUAUUCAGAAAAAAUUUGAGCCCAACCAGAAUAUUUAGGUU
RNAcentral lists this unclassified non-coding RNA (282 nucleotides) under Hevea brasiliensis (rubber tree). The record is from RNAcentral. Lineage: Eukaryota; Viridiplantae; Streptophyta; Magnoliopsida; Malpighiales; Euphorbiaceae.